Molecule: small nucleolar RNA, 144 nt
Organism: Macadamia integrifolia
Lineage: Eukaryota; Viridiplantae; Streptophyta; Magnoliopsida; Proteales; Proteaceae
Product: small nucleolar RNA snoR136
Exons: 1
Source: RefSeq, a predicted model, not a curated record
AAAGCUUCAUUUUUUUUGUAUUCUUAAUAUGAGCUGCUUGAGUUUUUAAUAUUUCAGUGGCAUUAUCAGUGAAGCCACAUGAAUGUUCCUCUCGCUAUCCAGUGUGAUUACAAUGUUGCAUUCGGACGUUGGGGACCUACAUGG